RNAcentral lists this ribosomal RNA (393 nucleotides) under Triticum aestivum (bread wheat). RNAcentral describes it as "partial small subunit ribosomal RNA". Lineage: Eukaryota; Viridiplantae; Streptophyta; Magnoliopsida; Poales; Poaceae. The record is from RNAcentral.
AUGGGAGGACUUCAAGAACACAGGGGUUGUGCCAUGCAAUUAAAGGAUCUGUUUCAACGACAUGACUGGAGAAGAGAUAUUUGUGGCAAACAAACGAUCGUACACUGUAAAGUGUCACACGGGUCGCACACAGAGCACAAUGUAUGGGAGAGGUUGGAGGAAGUUUUAUGCAAACAACAAGCCGGGGAAGGGUCAGCUGGUGUUGUCCUACUUGGACGAGCCUCCCCUAGGGUAGUUGUUUGUGUGAUCCAGAUUUGCAACGGAUCUGAAGAUGAGCAGUCUAUGUAUGAGGAUGAUGCCAUGGAAGCUUCAGAUGAAGAUGAUGAGGAUGGAGAAGCUUCCAGCGACGAUGAUGAAGGCAUCGUUCGCACUAGGGGGGCUUCAACUGAAUGA